UAUUGCUACUACUGUUACUGUUACUCUGCUACUACUGGUACAGCUGCUACUACUUCUACAACUCCUACUGCUGCUACUGUUAAUACUGCAAAUAUUGCUACUACUACUACUGCUACUACCACUACUACUACUACUGUUGUAGCUACUAUUACUGCUAGCUACUAAUGCUAUUAGUGCAACUAUUACUAAUACUGCAACUACUGUUGCUGCUACUACUACUCCUCCUACUACUAUUUAUUCUUCUUUUUCUUGUUCUUCUUAUUCUUCUUGUUCUUUUC
Molecule: long non-coding RNA, 278 nt
Filed under: Carica papaya (papaya)
Lineage: Eukaryota; Viridiplantae; Streptophyta; Magnoliopsida; Brassicales; Caricaceae
Description: long non-coding RNA (CPAP_LNC002482)
Source: RNAcentral